RNAcentral lists this ribosomal RNA (334 nucleotides) under Epicoccum plurivorum. RNAcentral's name for it is "eukaryotic LSU rRNA". The stretch from base 1 to 115 matches the Rfam family "5.8S ribosomal RNA", at positions 40 to 154 of the family's 154-position model. The record is from RNAcentral. Lineage: Eukaryota; Fungi; Ascomycota; Dothideomycetes; Pleosporales; Didymellaceae. RNAcentral also lists the same sequence under 1 other name.
AGAACGCAGCGAAAUGCGAUAAGUAGUGUGAAUUGCAGAAUUCAGUGAAUCAUCGAAUCUUUGAACGCACAUUGCGCCCCUUGGUAUUCCAUGGGGCAUGCCUGUUCGAGCGUCAUUUGUACCUUCAAGCUCUGCUUGGUGUUGGGUGUUUGUCUCGCCUCUGCGUGUAGACUCGCCUCAAAACAAUUGGCAGCCGGCGUAUUGAUUUCGGAGCGCAGUACAUCUCGCGCUUUGCACUCAUAACGACGACGAUCCAAAAGUACAUUUUUACACUCUUGACCUCGGAUCAGGUAGGGAUACCCGCUGAACUUAAGCAUAUCAAUAAGCGGAGGAA